This 76-nucleotide transfer RNA is filed under the name Corynebacterium terpenotabidum Y-11. RNAcentral describes it as "tRNA-Phe". It matches the Rfam family "tRNA". From Rfam's summary of the family: Transfer RNA (tRNA) molecules are approximately 80 nucleotides in length. Their secondary structure includes four short double-helical elements and three loops (D, anti-codon, and T loops). The record is from RNAcentral. Lineage: Bacteria; Bacillati; Actinomycetota; Actinomycetes; Mycobacteriales; Corynebacteriaceae.
GCCCAGAUAGCUCAGUUGGUAGAGCGUACGCCUGAAAAGUGUAAGGUCCCUGGUUCGACCCCUGGUCUGGGCACAA